GAUGAAGAACGCAGCGAAAUGCGAUACGUAAUGUGAAUUGCAAAUUCAGUGAAUCAUCGAGUCUUCGAACGCACAUUGCGCCCCCUGGUAUUCCGGGGGGCAUGCCUGUCCGAGCGUCAUUGCUGCCCUCAAGCACGGCUUGUGUGUUGGGCCCCGUCCUCCGAUCCCGGGGGACGGGCCCGAAAGGCAGCGGCGGCACCGCGUCCGGUCCUCGAGCGUAUGGGGCUUUGUCACCCGCUCUGUAGGCCCGGCCGGCGCUUGCCGAUCAACCCAAAUUUUUAUCCAGGUUGACCUCGGAUCAGGUAGGGAUACCCGCUGAACUUAAGCAUAUCAAUAAGCGGAGGA
This 345-nucleotide unclassified non-coding RNA is filed under the name soil metagenome. RNAcentral's name for it is "partial contains 5.8S ribosomal RNA, internal transcribed spacer 2, and large subunit ribosomal RNA". The stretch from base 1 to 119 matches the Rfam family "5.8S ribosomal RNA", at positions 35 to 154 of the family's 154-position model. The record is from RNAcentral.